Zonotrichia leucophrys gambelii is the source of this 297-nucleotide long non-coding RNA. RefSeq lists it as uncharacterized. The transcript has 3 exons. The record is from RefSeq and is a predicted model, not a curated record. Lineage: Eukaryota; Metazoa; Chordata; Aves; Passeriformes; Passerellidae.
GUUUUGCUCUACCUGGGGGAGCCAACAUUAAUUGCCAGGAGGUGGAGAGAGAACAGUGCUACGACCUGGGUCUGUGGGAUGGCUUGAAAAAGCACAAGGAUAUUCCUUCAUUUCAGCCCAUCUUAGACAGGCCACCCUUAGGAUGUGUGUCAUCGCCCAUUUUCCAUAUGGCAUCCCAGGGACUGGUGUUCUCCUUGGCUGGCUGGCCUAGGCAAAGCUGGGAGGCUCAGGGACAUCAAUCAGGCCACCCAGAUACUUAAUAUGGCCAGGUUUUCCUGAACAAAAGACAAGGGAAAG